This is a non-coding RNA of Biomphalaria pfeifferi, 1212 nucleotides long. The record is from the annotation of a GenBank genome assembly. Lineage: Eukaryota; Metazoa; Mollusca; Gastropoda; Planorbidae.
UAGAGCUCUAAACAGGCUGUAUCUCGCUGACAGCCAGUUUCUUAAAGCAGGUCUAUACACUGCUUUUUAAACAGUCAGCAGAUAUCUGGAGGAAAAGAAUUUUUUGCAUUCGCAUUCAAGUAAAAUAAGCUUGUAUCAUUUUCAGCAUGGUAGGUAGUCAGUGGGGGCGGGCAGAGGUGAAAGCAACUCUUUCAGAGUGCCUGGACAAAGUGUGCCUGUCUUUAAGUGCACCUGACUCUGUCUCAGGUGCAGUCUUUCAAAUCUAAACACUUUUUUUGCUUGUAGUGUUGAUUUUUUUUUUUCUAAUAAUUUCAUUACAACAUAUUGCUGUAACUUGUAACUCAUUGUAAUCAUUUUUUGUUAUGUUUCUAUUACUGAUGAUGACAUUGUUAUAUGUCAAGACUUGUACAUUAUUUCAAAAAAAUUAGAACUCACACAAACAAAAAAGUUGUUGUGGGUUUGUAUGUGUGUGCGUGAUUUCAGUUUUGCCAUAACACUAAGACAUAACAUAAGAGACGCUACUAUCACAAUGUAUAGGCAUUCACUUAUAUCUGUCUACUUUAUGAAUUUCAUGGCGACAAACGAAUUCUUUUAUUUGAUGGCUGCAGCAUUGUAUAUUGAUGUGUUUGUUUUAAUGACUUGAUUUAUGUCUGUUAUUCAACGGAGUAACUUCACUGUACAGAUUUGUUACCCACUUCUCUAAUCUCUAUUAUUUCAAUAUCUCUAUAACUAACUAAAGAUGUGUAUAAAAACUAAAGUAUUCAAUCUGUAUUGGACAAGAAAUGCUGUAAAUUGUUCUUUGACAACAAGUUUUAAAGUUUAUUUUUCUUUGACUGAAGUUUUUUAUUGGCCUGUGGUAUUUUACUCUUUUUUUUUCAUAUCAUUUGUUUCAUUGGGGACACUCAUUGUACACUUGUAAUCAAUUGUUUCUUUCAAUUUAUGUUUUUAUCCUAAUACAAUUAAGUCUUAAGGACAUAGAAGUAAAAAGUGUUCAUUGAGAUUGAGAUGAAAGCAAUAGUAGAGUCAAAGAGUCUAUACAUUGGAGAUGAAAUCAAUGCAGGAGACUUCAAGAUGUUUACAUUGAUAUUCACAAAGAAGUUUUGAAAAAUGCAUCUUCUCAAAUCUUUAAAAGAAACAAACAAAAAAAAUCUUCAUGAAAUAAUAAAAAGGUGUUUCUCUUUUCUUUUUUGUUUUUUCUUUUUUUUUUUUUUU